Long non-coding RNA from Corvus hawaiiensis (hawaiian crow), 534 nucleotides. RefSeq lists it as uncharacterized. The transcript is spliced from 3 exons. The record is from RefSeq and is a predicted model, not a curated record. NCBI's taxonomy places the organism in Eukaryota, Metazoa, Chordata, Aves, Passeriformes, Corvidae.
GCCGGUGGCCUGUGCUGUGAGGAGCUGCUGGAGGACGGAUCCCCACUGCAACAGGAGCCAGCAGGCAGACGCUGAAGGCCGCCAGCAAGAGCAGUGAAUAUGGACCUGCUGCUGCCGCCCGAGACCCUGGGUGUCCCAUCUGCUGUCCCCGUCCAGGAGAGCUGCUCUGCACGGGAGGAAGAGACCGAGGGAGAGCCUGGGAACAUCGGCGGCUGCAAUCACUCCUGAUUUAAUUCUAUUUAUAGAUGUGUGGAGUAUGACUAAGAGAGUUAGAAGAAUGGGGAUAUUUCCAUCUGUAUAUCUAUUUGUAUGGGUAUAUUGAUGCAUGUAUAUCGAUCUGUUUACAUCUGUAGUUAUAUUUACAUACUUGUUCAGUUGGGUACCUGAAUAGAUCGAUUGAUGGGGUUGGAAUGAUUUUUAUAUUAGUACAUUGAUAUUUGCAUAUUUAUAGCGGAAUUUGAUAUGUGUGUAUUAUAGAUGUCUCAUUAUAUCUCACAUGAAAUAUUUAAUAUAUAUUUACAUCUGUAUGUUUUU